RNAcentral lists this ribosomal RNA (497 nucleotides) under uncultured bacterium. RNAcentral describes it as "partial 16S ribosomal RNA". It matches the Rfam family "Bacterial small subunit ribosomal RNA", at positions 28 to 507 of the family's 1533-position model. The record is from RNAcentral.
GAUGAACGCUGGCGGCGUGCUUAAUACAUGCAAGUCGAGCGAACAGACGAGUUGCUUGCUGCUCUGACGUUUGCGGCGGACGGGUGAGACAUACGUGGAAAACCCACCUAUUAGAAAGGAAUAACUUCGGCAAACCGGAGCUAAUAACGGAAAAUAUAGUUAACCGAAGGGUUAUGUAGUGAAAGAGGGCUUUGCUGUCCAUUAUCGAUUGAUCGGCGUCGCAUUGGCAAGUUGGUAAGGUAACUGCUUGCCCAGGGAGCGAUGCGUGCCCGACAUGAGAGGGUGAUCGGCCACACUGAGAGUGAGACACGGUCCAGGGUCCGACGGGAGGCAGCAGUAGUGAAUCGUCCGCAAAGGGCGGAAGCCUGACGGAGCAGCGCCACGUGAGUGAUGAAGGUCUUCGGAUCGUACGACUCUGUUAUUCGGGAAGAACAAUUGUGUAAGUAACUAUGCACGCCUUGACGGUACCUAAUCAGGAAGCCACGGCUAACUACGUG